Molecule: transfer RNA, 92 nt
Filed under: Streptomyces camponoticapitis
Lineage: Bacteria; Bacillati; Actinomycetota; Actinomycetes; Kitasatosporales; Streptomycetaceae
Description: tRNA-Ala
Source: RNAcentral
GGGCUGGGUGGUGCACGGGGGGCCGCCCGCGCUCGCGGCGCGGGAAUCGGCGGACCGCAUCGCGACGCUCCUGCUCGACCCCGGCCUGCGCC